CAUCUCUCUAACAAUUAAUGAAAAGGUCAUAAAUAUGAUGAGAGACAGUGGGAUAGUAGUAUAUGGGAGGAAAGAGAAGGGAAGAAUGAUGUGAUUAUUCUAUAAUCUCAAAGAACAACAGCAACAAAAAACUUCCACAAUUUUAAAAGCAAACAGAUACAAAUUGAUCAUUGAGCAUUGGUUUAACACCAUUGUUUCCUUAAUGAUCUUGAGAAAGUAUUAUUGAAUUAAUAACGACCUUGACAAGGCCCCAUUCAGUGAAGUGCUAAGAACAAAGGCUUGGAGAAGCAGAUUUAAGAGAGAAUGAGAGAAAGGUACCAAUGGUAGUUUUGUGCCCCCACAGAGGCGAGAUACCUGCUGCAAUGGCCAUUCCAGUGGGUAACUGGAAAUAUGGGCCUUUAGCAUUGAGUAAGCAGCAAGUAUUUAGAGAUCUAAGAGAAGCUCAGUGGAAUUUAAAUGCCUAAAGAUAUGGAAGGAAAAGUAGCACUGUUUCUUUCCCAGACGCUUAAUGCUGGAAGAGGGAACUGAUCUUAAAAAGCAGCUUAGUGGGGUUGGGGUGCAGGGACGAUUGAGUGUUCCAUAAACUCACAUAAGAGCAUAUACACGCUGAACAGGACAAAGAAUAUUACCUCAUAGUAACUGCCAUAUUGGGUGGGUGUUGACAGAUAAUACAAAGUUAUUCGGAUAAGAAAAGGACAAAAGAAAGGAAAAAUAGAAUUCAAGAAAAAGGUAUUGUGACAAUAAAGACUCAGAGACCUGAAUUCCAGUAGUUGGGUGUUUUGGAAAUAGAUGAUCCAAAGGGACAGGUAGUGCCAGUUAAAAGUAUGAGCAGUUAGCAAAAGAAGUCAGACACAAGGACACAAUAAUGCAAAGAUGGGACAUUCUUUGGUAAAUGACAAAUGGGAUCACUGGACCGACAGUCCUUGAGUAGGCUUAAGAUCAGCUAAUGCAUUUUAAAACAUAACUCACUUAUUAGUGGGACUUCAUGUCCACCUCCUCUCUCAAUGGUGGGAUUUUAUCUAGCUUGACCUUACAUUCGUCUUCUGCAUACUAAGAGUCGCAAGUCCAUAUGUGUCUGGAAGCUUCUGUUUGUUUGCAGUUAAUUCUUACCACCCUCCUGUUCCUUUUUCAUAAACAAUAUCUGAGCCUUCAGAAGUGGGAGUGUGGAGAGCUGUUGGAAUUUGAAAGCUGAAGACAGAGGAAGAGUAGUAUUUCUGUCGUCACUGGGAUACCCUGAUUUGCUGAGAGCACGAUUUCAUUUCCAAACUCCGGCUGCUGAAACAGGAAUUUCACUGCAUAAACACAGAAGCCAUUGAGGUCUUAUUAGAGGCCGUUGAGUGAGGAGACUUUUGGAAGGGAUACAAACAUUAGUCCCUUAUUUUCUGCCUCCUGUUGAAGAUUUUCACAGCAGGGUGACUGGAAUCUAUGAAGGCAACUUUGUGAGUUAAGGGCUAAAGACCAUGUGGACAACAGGGUACAGCCAUGGAAAACCUUAAAAGCUGAUCUCAGGAAUGCCUGUGAGAAUCUGGACUGCCAACCGUGAUGUGAGUAUGAGGAGAGCCUCUGGUUUGUUUAAGUAGACAUAGCUGUGUCUGUUACUGUCUGUAGAAAAUUUAUGCAUUAUAUAAGGGAAAUUAUAAAUAUUAUAACUCUGUUGGGAGCAAUCCUAAAGAUUCAUUUGUUUGGUUCCAAGCCAUCAGGCUGUUACUUUAUUGAAAAUCACACUUUAAAACUUCCAUUAUUUUUCUGACCCAUACCAGAAUAGCCAAUGACAGUUUCUAAAAGUAGGAUCUUCAAUCUGUAAUGCUAUUUUUAUAACUUUUUUCCUUCUGGUUAGCUAUGUAAUCAUAAAGCUAUUUUUAAAAAAAAAGCACAAAGUAAGAUUGUGUAUAUUCUCUUGCUUUGCACACAAAUAGUAUCCCUUUAUGUUAUAUGCAUUUAAAAUUUUUCCAAGGCAAGUGUAUAUUCUGAAAGCAACGUGGUGCAGAGUGGGGUUUACCUAAAAGCUUGAUGAUUGAAUAACGACUUGGGCUUUGAUCCAAAAAAAUUAAUGAAGAGAAUACAAGUUGGUGAAGGGAAGAGAAACAUAUUUUUUCUUUUGUUUUAGAUACAAACAUUCUGCUUGGAAACAGAGAGGUGCUUCCCUGUAUCUUUACUAGAAGGACUCUGUGGAACACUCACGACCCAUUCCUAUACAGAUAGCAGCUGGAUCAUGUGCCUCUCUAUAGCAAAUGGACAAAAAGGGGAGGCAGAGAUGACUCUUUGUAAGGCAAUCAUCUCUGCUGGGUCAUGGAAGACCAGGGGCAAUUUUCAGGGAUCCCCAGAAUGACUUUCUGUCUGUGUCAAAACAGGAUCUCCAUCAACACCUGUCAUUGCCUUUCGGAGGUCUUUUAGAGUAUGAAUUGGUCUGUUCAAACUCUCAAAUGACACCUGUAGGAAGCAUUCUACUCUUAUUACAAAUCAUUUUACUGACUUCCGAUUCAACAAUUGCUUUGGGGCAGCAGUUAAUGUCCCCAAUGUAUCAGAAGGGAUUCUAGUAACUAUUCUUUAUGUAGAGAGAACUACUCUAGUUUUGUAGAAGAAACUUCCUUUAAUCUCAACAGUCUCUUAACAAUAGGUUUAGGUCAACAGAAACACGCAGGGUACGGACAUAUUUUUUUCUCUUACUGACACAAAUCACGCGCAGAUUCAUCAAGCUGUGAAAUAUAUUAAGUUCACAGGGCUUUAACAAAGGGUUAGAAAACCACAAGAACCUGCUGUGAUUCAAACUACUUUCAGAUGUCCUUUUAAUUAUAUUAAAUGAAAGUUUGGGUUGGCUUUGAUGCUUAUGGGCAAACAAGGAAAUCCAUUGAAAGAACUGCUAAAAGUACUCCCUGUUGCUGUGGUUAAUAUACUACAUUGUAUGCACACUGCCAACCAAUUUAUUCUAGUCACUUUAACAAGGAUAUGCAGCCUGACGGGCCACACAGGAUAGUAUCACGAGUCAGGCAGAGCACAAAUCAUUAGAGGGCUAAGAAAGUUGUUUGACAUGCACCACAGAGCUCUUUGUCACACAGCCAAUUAAGUGACCAAACAAGGAACUUGAAAAUACUCAUUAAUUUCUUCCUAGCAAUAUAAAUGGAACAUAGACUCCUUCUUGUCUCGUGCACCGAAGGCACCCAAGUAAAACUGGCAUAAUUCAAUUUGCACUUUGUCAAGGGUGCGAGCAGCAACUUCGGUUCACAGAGAGUCUGAGUUAGGCGCACGGGAAUGGAAAGCAUGGGUAAAAAGUCUGCAGAUAUUUUUACUAAGGUAUAGAUUUCUGGACUCUGUGUGGAAUUCUUCAUGUCCAUCAACAGUUGGGAGCGCUUUUGCGCUUGAAUUUUUAGGUCAUGGUUUUUUGAGCAGAUGCUGCAGUCUGAGCAUCAUUUCUUCUUCCUUGGGGUGAGGCUGGAGAGUUGGCGACUCAACACCUAACAGAGCAGCAUGCCUCACUUACAGAGGACUCAAGCGCUGUUCCCAGGACCCAUGUCAAGGGAGGCACAACCACCUGGGCCUUGGUAUGGCUAAAAUCUCUAUGAUAUCGCUCUUGAAGUAAAGCAGGACUAUAGACUUUAGGGAGAACAUAUUACCCCUGAGACUUGAGGAGCAGUAGCAAAAGGGUAAAAGGUGUAUUUAUUAACUAAGAAAAUGUUUCAAUCUAAAGCAGGAAGAAAGAACACCAGUAAUUCUUAAUAGUUCUUUCUGAAGAAAAGAACAAUGUUGCUAACAAAUAUUACAAACUGAAGGGUAGAAUUUUAAAGUUGAAAAGAUGAACGACAUUAUGUGUACAUGUAUAACACAUGAGUACACUGGCUCCUAAGCAGUUUGUUUGUAUGUAUAUAUUUAUAUCCUACUUCCCAAUUCUUAUUAAAAUCACACCCAUCUGAUUGGAAGCAUAUGGUCUUUUGAUGGUUCAUGGAUUCCCAAAUGUUACACCAUCUGACUCAUGACCAGAGAGUCCUGAAUCUGCUACUAAGCUUGUGUGUUCCAGCGUGUGUGUGUGUGUGUGUGUGUGUGUGUGUGUGUGUGUGUGUGUGUGUGUGUCAGGAAGAGAGCAGAGUACCCAGGUCGAGAAGUUGGGUGAUAUGGGAAACCUGACAGAUUUUGUAAAAUCCGAAAGAAACAUAAUGUAGGACAUCACUCUGGAAACUAGUCUGAUAACUCUGUCAACAGCUUUUUCUUUUCUUAAAAUUAUGUUUAUAAAUCAGGGUGUCCUUUGAAAAUCUGUUUCUUAAUAUAGCAGUACAAUGUACUGAUAACACAGCCACUGAACAUGGAUGCAUC
This 4305-nucleotide small RNA is filed under the name Rattus norvegicus (Norway rat). RNAcentral's name for it is "uncharacterized LOC108352841". Lineage: Eukaryota; Metazoa; Chordata; Mammalia; Rodentia; Muridae. The record is from RNAcentral.